UGUCGCCUUCGUACUUUUAUUCGAUGGCAACACGACGGGAUUACGAGGUCUUUACGAAGUCGUGUUGCCAUCGUUAGACCUUCGGGUAGCUUCGUGAUUCAUUCGUGUAGACAUCGUAAUGUCAAAACUGCCCGAUGGAAACGAUGGAAAUACGAAUGCAAUACGAUGUUCAAAGAUGCAUUCCCGGUGACAUUACGAUGGUGAGGAUGGUG
RNAcentral lists this long non-coding RNA (212 nucleotides) under Mytilus galloprovincialis (Mediterranean mussel). The record is from RNAcentral. Lineage: Eukaryota; Metazoa; Mollusca; Bivalvia; Mytilida; Mytilidae.